This 238-nucleotide ribosomal RNA is filed under the name Klebsiella aerogenes. Its description in RNAcentral is "partial 23S ribosomal RNA". It matches the Rfam family "Bacterial large subunit ribosomal RNA", at positions 1 to 230 of the family's 2925-position model. RNAcentral also lists the same sequence under 1 other name. The record is from RNAcentral. Lineage: Bacteria; Pseudomonadati; Pseudomonadota; Gammaproteobacteria; Enterobacterales; Enterobacteriaceae.
GGGUUGUGAGGUUAAGCGACUAAGCGUACACGGUGGAUGCCCUGGCAGUCAGAGGCGAUGAAGGACGUGCUAAUCUGCGAAAAGCGUCGGUAAGGUGAUAUGAACCGUUAUAGCCGGCGAUGUCCGAAUGGGGAAACCCAGUGUGAUUCGUCACACUAUCGUUAACUGAAUACAUAGGUUAACGAGGCGAACCGGGGGAACUGAAACAUCUAAGUACCCCGAGGAAAAGAAAUCAACC